ACUCCUACGGGAGGCAGCAGUAGGGAAUCUUCCACAAUGGGCGCAAGCCUGAUGGAGCAACACCGCGUGAGUGAAGAAGGGUUUCGGCUCGUAAAACUCUGUUGUUGAAGAAGAACGUGCAUGAGAGUAACUGUUCAUGCAGUGACGGUAUUCGACCAGAAAGUCACGGCUAACUACGUGCCAGCAGCCGCGGUAAUACGUAGGUGGCAAGCGUUAUCCGGAUUUAUUGGGCGUAAAGCGAGCGCAGGCGGUUGCUUAGGUCUGAUGUGAAAGCCUUCGGCUUAACCGAAGAAGUGCAUCGGAAACCGGGCGACUUGAGUGCAGAAGAGGACAGUGGAACUCCAUGUGUAGCGGUGGAAUGCGUAGAUAUAUGGAAGAACACCAGUGGCGAAGGCGGCUGUCUGGUCUGCAACUGACGCUGAGGCUCGAAAGCAUGGGUAGCGAACAGGAUUAGAUACCCUGGUAGUC
Molecule: ribosomal RNA, 468 nt
Filed under: uncultured bacterium
Lineage: Bacteria
Description: bacterial SSU rRNA
Rfam family: Bacterial small subunit ribosomal RNA
Source: RNAcentral